Mustela erminea (ermine) is the source of this 394-nucleotide long non-coding RNA. RefSeq lists it as uncharacterized. The transcript has 3 exons. The record is from RefSeq and is a predicted model, not a curated record. Lineage: Eukaryota; Metazoa; Chordata; Mammalia; Carnivora; Mustelidae.
UUCAAUCCAACCCAAGAGGAUUUAGUUACUUGGCAUCUCAGAGAAGCCUGCGGAAACAUUGCCUUAUCAGGAUGUGGGGAGCACAGCCGCACACACCCCCCUCCCAUGAAGCCCGGUUUUCUGGAAGGUUGGUGGGUGUGGUGCGCACUCGUCCACGGCCCUAAUGCCCAGAGCCUGGGAACGCGUCACUUUGUCCAGCAAAAGGGAUUCCGUAGCUGUGGUGAAGUUCAGGAUCUUGAGAUGGGAAGAUCGUCCCAGAAGGAGCGCAGCGCGGCCAACACCUUGAUGGGGGCCCAGGGAGACCCAGUGCAGACCACUGACCACCGGAGCUCUGAGAGAAUAAACGUGUGUUGUUAGAAGCCGCUGAGUUUGCCAGCGAAGCCACUGAAUUUGU